GCAUCUGAAAUAUGUAGAAUUGGAAAAAGAAAUAUUAAAAUAAUAGAUUUGUUAUCAUUAAGUACAGAAUAUUAUGGUAAUUAAAACUUUCGAGCGCCUGUAGACUAGCAAGCUAUUGACUUCUCAUGAAUAGGUGUACGAUAGGUUGCUCGGCAACAGGCGUAGAAACCAGUAACUUUAUAGUUCUGAAUUAUUAACCACUUAACCUACAACUACGGGCAGCCUGUAGUACGAUGAUCGGGCAAAAUAUAAUAUAUAAUAUAAUGUAUAAUAAUAGCUUGUUUACGUUUUCGGUUCAAAAUUCUCGAACGUAAAUCGUAGGUUAAGGGUUCAUUAAAGGGUCCUUCAACGUGAGUUUCCGAGUUAUCGGCUUCGUGCUGUCUUACAUGAAGAGAAAGAGCAGAUAUGGGUAUUGAUAUUUUGCGACAACAUUUUGGUUGUACCUGAAUAAAAAAAGGAUUAUAUAUUUAGAUUUUUAUAUUAUAUUAGUAUAGUUAUAUAUGCUGUUGCAGAAAUUGUGGUAUAACCAGAAAUGAGGUAGCAAGAACAAAAUUGCCUUCUCUAGGAUUACAAGUAGACAGACUAACUACUGCACUGUUACUUUCCACAUCCAAUAAUUCAAUUGGAGUAUCUGAUUGUAUCAAAAUGUUAUC
Long non-coding RNA from Bombus huntii, 653 nucleotides. RefSeq lists it as uncharacterized. The record is from RefSeq and is a predicted model, not a curated record. Lineage: Eukaryota; Metazoa; Arthropoda; Insecta; Hymenoptera; Apidae. The transcript is spliced from 3 exons.